RNAcentral lists this unclassified non-coding RNA (212 nucleotides) under Hevea brasiliensis (rubber tree). The record is from RNAcentral. Lineage: Eukaryota; Viridiplantae; Streptophyta; Magnoliopsida; Malpighiales; Euphorbiaceae.
CAGUGCAAAUCGUUGGGAAAAGAGAUCAUUAAUGGAGGAGAAGCUGAAGAGUGGAACUACUCUCAUCGUUGACCGCUAUUCUUAUUCUGGGGUGGCAUUUUCCUCUGCCAAGGGACUUGAUAUUGAAUGGUGUAAGGCUCCAGAAAUAGGGUUGUUAGCUCCAGAUCUGGUUGUAUAUCUCGACAUAUCUCCAGAGAAAGCUGCUGAAAGAG